This is a long non-coding RNA of Malaclemys terrapin pileata, 3005 nucleotides long. RefSeq lists it as uncharacterized. The record is from RefSeq and is a predicted model, not a curated record. The transcript has 3 exons. NCBI's taxonomy places the organism in Eukaryota, Metazoa, Chordata, Testudines, Emydidae.
AUGUUCUUUUUUCCACGACACAAAGGGUCACCUAUUUUUAAAAUAGACUAAGAAUAAGCUACACUCCAUGAUGCAGGAGCUGGUAAAUAUUGCAGUGCAAACUGGUGUUAUUUGUAGACACUUACUUUAGCAAACUGUGAUUUUAAAGGGGUCAUUUGUAACUAAUUCACUUGCUCAAAGUUUAGUAUUAAAAGAUUGGGAGGGGGGUUGUGUAUGGAGGAUGAAUGGAUAUUUUUUGUACUGUAGUUUCAAACUGAAAUUAUUCCAAUAUAUUUUAUAUAUGUGUAAUUGUAUUUAAGAAUGAAUGGGGUAUUUAUUUUCCUGUGAAACAUGACUUCAUUAAAGCACUAGAAACAUUAGCUAAGAAACACUUUCAGAUUUCUCCCUUGUGAUCAGUACAGAUCUGGUUAUCUAGUAUGUGAAGUGAAUUUGGUGCUUUUAACCCUAUAGCAGAAAACUUUUGUUUUGUUGUUGAGAAAAUGUUAGGUUUUUUGUGAGCCUUAAAUUAUUAAAUAUUGUAGAUAUAUUUCUUUAUAAGUACUUUUAUUAACAAUCUUACUGUUUCAGAAUUUCUAAUAAUUCAGCCCUGUGCUUUAUAUCCCAGAAAAACAUUGUGCAGCUUUUUGUUUGUUUGUUUGUUUUUCUACCGCUGGUAUAAUUUUGAGAUUUUUUUAUAGGCUAUUGUCUGCUGUUACUAGUUUUUAUCCAAGUGCACAACAGAUCAAAAACAGUGGGAGCUGGAGGAAACAACUUGAAAGCUAAUCAUGUGUGCAGUAUCUGCAAAGCUUUUUUGAUUUGCACUCCAGAUUUCUUUAGCACACGAAUCAGUCACAUUGCGUACCCAGGCCAUUCGUAUAAAUGGCUCGCUGUUUUUAAUGAUCAUAUUUCAAAAACGGAUGGCACUUAGAGUCUGACAUGGCACAGAGUGCUACUUAAGUAACCAUCAUGUGGCUUAUGUCUUGGACUGAGGAGGAAAGAAUCAUCUUUCAUCAAAAUGUUUUCUUUUUCUGUUAUUUCAAAGCAAAAGCGUCACAAUGUUAUGGAUUUUACAAUUUCAAUCUUCCUGAAUGACAAUGACAGAGCGUCUUCAUUUUGAUGACAUGGCACUGUGCAGCUACCUUAGUGAACACUGAAAUGAAGUUGAUUCGUUACUUCAAAUGAAAGCGCUACAUUAUCAUUUCUGUUGCAAAGAACUUACUAUUUUUUUGCAUACUUCUGUUGCACUACUGAAGGAUGUUUCAUGCCUUUACCAUGGCAAGAUUAGCAGGUCAUGGAAGAGAAGUCUUGAUUGUCAACGGUCAAGAGUGACCUGGAGCAGAGACAGUGGUGCUGUUCUUGAGAAGGCUUCCCGGGACAUAGCAGUGCACAGCACACCCAAUGAGACACAGUACUGGGAUGGAAAUUCCAGUCUGGGGAGGGUGUGAGUCAUGAGUUGAGGCUGCCUGAGAAGCUAUUUAGGGCAUCUUUUUUUAUAAUGUUUUUAACUGAUCUUGUGUUGCUUUUUUAAUUUAUACUUACAUCUACUUAGCUUGUCAUUUUUUUGUAUAUUACGUAUUUUUAUUUCCAAAUUUGUAAAAAAAAAUAUUUUAUUUUUUAAUUUAUAUUUAUGCAAGAAAAAGGAAGUCAUUGUAAUUGUGGUUUGACAUCUUUGGCAACAAAUUUUAUUCGCUACUCAGUGGCCACUGUUUUGGUUAAGACACCAUUUCAUUAAUCAUAUCUGUAAACCCAAUAGGGUGCUGAAGGUAACCUCCUGGGAGAGGACCUUUAUGGUCCAAAUUUUCAGAAAGGGAGGCUGGAGGUAAGAAAAUACACAGCUGCCCUUGAAGUCAAUGGAAAUCUGUCCGUUGUAAAUGGUUAUUUGGCCAAGCUAACUGGUGAUUUGCAUAGGCAAAUACCUGAUUUGCAGAGGUAGCUGUAUUCAUUGCAUGCACAAAUGUAGGCAUGUAAUUGAGCAUACUAUCCUGCAAGUGGAUCUACCUACUUUUCUGAAAAUGUUACCCUAGAAAUCUCACUUACGAGUGUAGGGGAGAAAAGUAAUUUCUUUCUUCUGUGAAAUCUGUCUAUGCAACUGUACUGAAUUAGAAGAUUUGUCCAACAGGAAAGUCAGGAAUGGUUUCCGGAGGCACGGAUACAUUAUUGGUUUGCUCUAAAGUAAAGCAAAAUAAUGGAACAUUGCAAUCUAUGUGUCUGAUCUAAGCCAUAUCUCUGUAUCUGGUAUGCAUCCUAAAGACUGCACCUAUAGUUGCUUGGUAGAGGACUGGCUGCCUUUCUCCUGGUGUCCCGCUGCAGUAAAAGGACAUUGGGAAGAAGUUCAGAGAUUGGAACUAACACAGGUAGCCAGAUUCCUUUGCUCCCUGUUCCCAUACCUUCUUGGGAUAUGAAACUCUAUUGAAAACCUUUCCCCCCCAUACAUUGCUUUGGAGUUGCCCAGCUUCUUCUCCGCCGCCCUCCCUUCCCCCUCACAUGGAUGUGUUCUCAUCGGUUGGAUUCCUCAAUUUGGAUGUUUGGAAAUCUGUUAUUUUGGGAGUUUUCUCUUACAGAGAAGCUUUUCUGCAUUCAGAGCCCAGUUUUGAACUCAUUCUCAGACACAGUGAAAUACAUCAGGGACUCUGCUAUUUUGGAUUUCGUAUGGAAAUACAUGAAUGAUCGUCUCUAAGUCUUUGCUUUCCUUCCACUAGUGCUGUUCUUUGUCAAACUCUCUCAUAGUUUAGGGAGAUUAUUCAAGCACCAUUUAUUUCUGUCUUUUUUGACAUUAAUUUUCUUUUAUUUCUUUUGUAUUUUUAAGAUGUGAAGUCUCCAGGGUUAAUAUUUCAAAUCUUAGCAUCAAAGUGCUGUGCAUACAGGUCUAGUACACAUCUGAAGGUUAGUCUUAGUUUUUGUGUGGCUUUGACUUGAACACUUUUCCAUUUCUCUUUCUGUUAAUAUUGGUAUUUGGGAAAUGUGCGCUGCCUGUAUUCUUUCUGCCUUUUGCCCCUGUCUCUUAAUUCAAUAAAAAAAUGUUUUCC